RNAcentral lists this ribosomal RNA (272 nucleotides) under uncultured Lachnospiraceae bacterium. RNAcentral's name for it is "partial 16S ribosomal RNA". It matches the Rfam family "Bacterial small subunit ribosomal RNA", at positions 67 to 339 of the family's 1533-position model. The record is from RNAcentral. Lineage: Bacteria; Bacillati; Bacillota; Clostridia; Lachnospirales; Lachnospiraceae.
UUCUUCGGAUGAUUUCCUAUUUGACUGAGCGGCGGACGGGUGAGUAACGCGUGGGUAACCUGCCUCAUACAGGGGGAUAACAGUUAGAAAUGACUGCUAAUACCGCAUAAGCGCACAGCUUCGCAUGAAGCAGUGUGAAAAACUCCGGUGGUACAAGAUGGACCCGCGUCUGAUUAGCUAGUUGGUGAGGUAACGGCCCACCAAGGCAACGAUCAGUAGCCGACCUGAGAGGGUGACCGGCCACAUUGGGACUGAGACACGGCCCAGACUCC